Molecule: ribosomal RNA, 1372 nt
Filed under: uncultured bacterium
Lineage: Bacteria
Description: bacterial SSU rRNA
Rfam family: Bacterial small subunit ribosomal RNA
Source: RNAcentral
GAUGAACGCUGGCGGCGUGCCUAAUACAUGCAAGUCGAGCGAACGGACGAGAAGCUUGCUUUUCUGAUGUUAGCGGCGGACGGGUGAGUAACACGUGGAUAACCUACCUAUAAGACUGGGAUAACUUCGGGAAACCGGAGCUAAUACCGGAUAAUAUUUUGAACCGCAUGGUUCAAAAGUGAAAGACGGUCUUGCUGUCACUUAUAGAUGGAUCCGCGCUGCAUUAGCUAGUUGGUAAGGUAACGGCUUACCAAGGCAACGAUGCAUAGCCGACCUGAGAGGGUGAUCGGCCACACUGGAACUGAGACACGGUCCAGACUCCUACGGGAGGCAGCAGUAGGGAAUCUUCCGCAAUGGGCGAAAGCCUGACGGAGCAACGCCGCGUGAGUGAUGAAGGUCUUCGGAUCGUAAAACUCUGUUAUUAGGGAAGAACAUAUGUGUAAGUAACUGUGCACAUCUUGACGGUACCUAAUCAGAAAGCCACGGCUAACUACGUGCCAGCAGCCGCGGUAAUACGUAGGUGGCAAGCGUUAUCCGGAAUUAUUGGGCGUAAAGCGCGCGUAGGCGGUUUUUUAAGUCUGAUGUGAAAGCCCACGGCUCAACCGUGGAGGGUCAUUGGAAACUGGAAAACUUGAGUGCAGAAGAGGAAAGUGGAAUUCCAUGUGUAGCGGUGAAAUGCGCAGAGAUAUGGAGGAACACCAGUGGCGAAGGCGACUUUCUGGUCUGUAACUGACGCUGAUGUGCGAAAGCGUGGGGAUCAAACAGGAUUAGAUACCCUGGUAGUCCACGCCGUAAACGAUGAGUGCUAAGUGUUAGGGGGUUUCCGCCCCUUAGUGCUGCAGCUAACGCAUUAAGCACUCCGCCUGGGGAGUACGACCGCAAGGUUGAAACUCAAAGGAAUUGACGGGGACCCGCACAAGCGGUGGAGCAUGUGGUUUAAUUCGAAGCAACGCGAAGAACCUUACCAAAUCUUGACAUCCUUUGACAACUCUAGAGAUAGAGCCUUCCCCUUCGGGGGACAAAGUGGCAGGUGGUGCAUGGUUGUCGUCAGCUCGUGUCGUGAGAUGUUGGGUUAAGUCCCGCAACGAGCGCAACCCUUAAGCUUAGUUGCCAUCAUUAAGUUGGGCACUCUAAGUUGACUGCCGGUGACAAACCGGAGGAAGGUGGGGAUGACGUCAAAUCAUCAUGCCCCUUAUGAUUUGGGCUACACACGUGCUACAAUGGACAAUACAAAGGGCAGCGAAACCGCGAGGUCAAGCAAAUCCCAUAAAGUUGUUCUCAGUUCGGAUUGUAGUCUGCAACUCGACUACAUGAAGCUGGAAUCGCUAGUAAUCGUAGAUCAGCAUGCUACGGUGAAUACGUUCCCGGGUCU